Molecule: transfer RNA, 74 nt
Filed under: Streptacidiphilus pinicola
Lineage: Bacteria; Bacillati; Actinomycetota; Actinomycetes; Kitasatosporales; Streptomycetaceae
Rfam family: tRNA
About the family: Transfer RNA (tRNA) molecules are approximately 80 nucleotides in length. Their secondary structure includes four short double-helical elements and three loops (D, anti-codon, and T loops).
Source: Rfam by way of RNAcentral
UGGCCUGUAGCUCAGUUGGACAGAGCGCCCGGCUACGAACCGGGAGGUGGCGGGUUCAAGUCCUGCCAGGCCAA